Oncorhynchus keta (chum salmon) is the source of this 1475-nucleotide long non-coding RNA. RefSeq lists it as uncharacterized. The record is from RefSeq and is a predicted model, not a curated record. Lineage: Eukaryota; Metazoa; Chordata; Actinopteri; Salmoniformes; Salmonidae. The transcript is spliced from 3 exons.
AGACGUUCCUCAUCUGUCUGAACGAUUAAACAUCUCAGAGACAAGACGUUCUCAUCUGUCUGAACUAUUGACUAUCUCAGAGACAAGACGUUUCUCAUCUGUCUGAACUAUUAACCAUCUCAGAGACAAAGGCUGGGGAUCCCUGAUUAGAGGGGAAUCACCCACGUGCUGUCCCAGGUCUGAAUCAGGCCCUGAUUAUAGGGGAAUCACCCACUUGUUGUCCCAGGUCUAAAUCAGGCCCUGAUUAGAGGGGAAUCGCCCACGUGUUGUCCCAGGUCUAAAUCAGGCCCUGAUUAGAGGGGAAUCGCCCACGUGUUGUCCCAGGUCUAAAUCAGGCCCUGAUUAUAGGGGAAUCGCCCACGUGUUGUCCCAGGUCUAAAUCAGGCCCUGAUUAUAGGGGGAACAAUGAUAAAAGCAGCAGAACUGCCUUCCCAGGGCCAGAGUUGAAUUUGAGGAUUACAGGGAAAAGGAUGCCAUUUGGAACACACCCAUAAUGUUUCUAAACCAUCUCUUCCUCUGGCUGCUUGCCUGGGAGUCCAACAGCUUCUAACUGAGUCACACUAACUGGCUAUAAGGAUUAUUAUAAUAACUGGCUAGAACCAUGGAACCAGAGUUUUGAACUGGUUAGAACCAUAGAACCAUCGUUGAGAACUGGCUAGAACCAUGGAACCAUAGUUGAGAACUGGCUAGACCCCAUGGAACCAUAGUUGAGAACUGGUUAGAACUGGCUAGAACCAUGGAACCAUAGUUGAGAACUGGCUAGAACCAUGGAACCAUAGUUGAGAACUGGCUAGAACCAUGGAACCAUAGUUGAGAACUGGCUAGAACCAUGGAACCAUCGUUGAGAACUGGUUAGUACUGGCUAGAACCAUGGAACCAUAGUUGAGAACUGGUUAGAACUGGCUAGAACCAUGGAACAAUAGUUGAGAACUGGCUAGAACCACGGAACCAUAGUUGAGAACUGGCUAGAACCAUGGAACCAUAGUUGAGAACUGGUUAGAACUGGCUAUAACCAUAGUUUAGAACUGGUUAAAACCAUAGAACCAUGCCUGUCUGUCUGUCUGUCUGUCCUAGAUUCUAAUACGCUACAGGGAUCUCUAUGCACCCUGACUAGAACACACAGCUGUGAUGCCAUUCGGAGGUUGACAUUAAUAAGGAUUCUAGGGGAAAACGUGAUGAUCUGAACCACGUGUGUCUGUGAUGUAAUACACGUCUUUGUGAUGACGAAGAGCACAACUCUUUAUUGAUGAAACACUCUCCUGUCUGAAACCUCUUGCGUAGUCUAAUAUCGGGCGCUGCUAUUGGCCCGUGAGCACAAAGGGGGAAAUCCGAUUGGUUGUGGCGGUGCUUUGCUUGGUUUUCUAUGUAACUCUGUUUCUUGGCAAAUUUAAUGAAACUGAUUUUUUUAUUCUUUUCAUAAUGUGGCAUUUGUAUUUCAACUUAAAGCCCAAUAAAACUUCACAGUGUAAAAUGUU